UAGGGAAUCUUCGGCAAUGGACGAAAGUCUGACCGAGCAACGCCGCGUGAGUGAAGAAGGUUUUCGGAUCGUAAAACUCUGUUGUUAGAGAAGAACAAGGACGUUAGUAACUGAACGUCCCCUGACGGUAUCUAACCAGAAAGCCACGGCUAACUACGUGCCAGCAGCCGCGGUAAUACGUAGGUGGCAAGCGUCGUCCGGAUUUAUUGGGCGUAAAGCGAGCGCAGGCGGUUUCUUAAGUCUGAUGUGAAAGCCCCCGGCUCAACCGGGGAGGGUCAUUGGAAACUGGGAGACUUGAGUGCAGAAGAGGAGAGUGGAAUUCCAUGUGUAGCGGUGAAAUGCGUAGAUAUAUGGAGGAACACCAGUGGCGAAGGCGGCUCUCUAGUCUGUAACUGACGCUGGGGCUCGAAAGCGUGGGGAGCAAACAGG
Molecule: ribosomal RNA, 429 nt
Filed under: Gemmatimonadota bacterium
Lineage: Bacteria; Pseudomonadati; Gemmatimonadota
Description: Gemmatimonadetes bacterium partial 16S ribosomal RNA
Rfam family: Bacterial small subunit ribosomal RNA
Source: RNAcentral